AAGACCUUGCACUUUUGGAGCGGCCGAUGCCUGAUUAGCUUGUUGGUGAGGUAAAAGCUCACCAAGGCUUCGAUCAGUAGCUGGUCUGAGAGGACGACCAGCCACACUGGGACUGAGACACGGCCCAGACUCCUACGGGAGGCAGCAGUGGGGAAUUUUGGACAAUGGGGGCAACCCUGAUCCAGCCAUGCCGCGUGAGUGAAGAAGGCCUUCGGGUUGUAAAGCUCUUUCAGCCGGAACGAAACGGUCACGACUAAUACCUGUGACUAAUGACGGUACCGGAAGAAGAAGCACCGGCUAACUACGUGCCAGCAGCCGCGGUAAUACGUAGGGUGCGAGCGUUAAUCGGAAUUACUGGGCGUAAAGCGUGCGCAGGUGGUUUUGUAAGUCAGAUGUGAAAUCCCCGGGCUUAACCUGGGAACU
Molecule: ribosomal RNA, 423 nt
Filed under: uncultured bacterium
Lineage: Bacteria
Description: bacterial SSU rRNA
Rfam family: Bacterial small subunit ribosomal RNA
Source: RNAcentral